AAUAAGCACAGUCAUAAGUUUCCGCGUCCAAUUUUAGUCGUCCGUCUUAUUUUUUUUAUAAUUAGCAUUUUUAUUGCUAUGAGAUGAUAAAACAUAAAUAGUACUUUACUCGUGACUUAUGUUUUAAUUUUUUAAAAAAAAAUUUAAAUAAGAUGAACGGUUAAAGUUCGACGCGAAAAAUCAUGGUUGCAAUUAUU
Molecule: non-coding RNA, 197 nt
Organism: Oryza nivara
Lineage: Eukaryota; Viridiplantae; Streptophyta; Magnoliopsida; Poales; Poaceae
Source: Rfam